RNAcentral lists this ribosomal RNA (253 nucleotides) under uncultured bacterium. Its description in RNAcentral is "partial 16S ribosomal RNA". It matches the Rfam family "Bacterial small subunit ribosomal RNA", at positions 524 to 776 of the family's 1533-position model. The record is from RNAcentral.
UACGUAGGGUGCGAGCGUUGUCCGGAAUUAUUGGGCGUAAAGGGCUCGUAGGCGGUCUGUCACGUCGAAAGUGAAAACUCAGGGCUCAACCCUGAGCCUGCUUCCGAUACGGGCAGACUAGAGGUAUGCAGGGGAGAAUGGAAUUCCUGGUGUAGCGGUGGAAUGCGCAGAUAUCAGGAGGAACACCGGUGGCGAAGGCGGGUCUCUGGGCCGUUACUGACGCUGAGGAGCGAAAGCGUGGGGAGCGAACAGG